GACGAACGCUGGCGGCGUGCUUAACACAUGCAAGUCGAACGGAAAGGCCCUGCUUUUGUGGGGUGCUCGAGUGGCGAACGGGUGAGUAACACGUGAGUAACCUGCCCUUGACUUUGGGAUAACUUCAGGAAACUGGGGCUAAUACCGGAUAGGAGCUCCUGCUGCAUGGUGGGGGUUGGAAAGUUUCGGCGGUUGGGGAUGGACUCGCGGGUUAUCAGUUUGUUGGUGGGGUAGUGGCUUACCAAGGCUUUGACGGGUAGCCGGCCUGGGAGGGUGACCGGCCACAUUGGGACUGAGAUACGGCCCAGACUCCUACGGGGGGCAGCAGUGGGGAAUAUUGCACAAUGGGCGGAAGCCUGAUGCAGCAACGCCGCGUGCGGGAUGACGGCCUUCGGGUUGUAAACCGCUUUCGCCUGUGACGAAGCGUGAGUGACGGUAAUGGGUAAAGAAGCACCGGCUAACUACGUG
This 468-nucleotide ribosomal RNA is filed under the name uncultured bacterium. Its description in RNAcentral is "partial 16S ribosomal RNA". It matches the Rfam family "Bacterial small subunit ribosomal RNA", at positions 28 to 507 of the family's 1533-position model. The record is from RNAcentral.